RNAcentral lists this non-coding RNA (135 nucleotides) under Burkholderia cepacia. RNAcentral's name for it is "yybP-ykoY". It matches the Rfam family "Manganese Mn2+ riboswitch aptamer (yybP-ykoY)". Rfam says of the family: This RNA was originally discovered in E. coli during a large scale screen and was named SraF. The family was later found to exist upstream of related families of protein genes in many bacteria, including the the yybP and ykoK genes in B. subtilis. Lineage: Bacteria; Pseudomonadati; Pseudomonadota; Betaproteobacteria; Burkholderiales; Burkholderiaceae. The record is from RNAcentral. RNAcentral also lists the same sequence under 1 other name.
CCCUUCGUCUUUGGGGAGUAGCCUGCUUUCCGUCUCCGGAAAGCGAACGCGUCAACACACUCGGCCUGCGGCCGUGGCGCGUUCAGCCUGAUCGGCCUGGCGAGACCAUCGGCACAUCGCGUCGUUCCUGGUCGG